UACGUAGGGGGCAAGCGUUGUCCGGAAUCAUUGGGCGUAAAGAGCGCGUAGGCGGCCCGGUAAGUCCGCUGUGAAAGUCAAGGGCUCAACCCUUGGAUGCCGGUGGAUACUGUCGGGCUUGAGUACGGAAGAGGCGAGUGGAAUUCCUGGUGUAGCGGUGAAUGCGCAGAUAUCAGGAGGAACACCAAUUGCGAAGGCAGCUCGCUGGACGUUACUGACGCUGAGACGCGAAGCGUGGGAG
Molecule: ribosomal RNA, 241 nt
Filed under: uncultured bacterium
Lineage: Bacteria
Description: partial 16S ribosomal RNA
Rfam family: Bacterial small subunit ribosomal RNA
Source: RNAcentral